Long non-coding RNA from Parus major (Great Tit), 307 nucleotides. RefSeq lists it as uncharacterized. Lineage: Eukaryota; Metazoa; Chordata; Aves; Passeriformes; Paridae. The transcript has 2 exons. The record is from RefSeq and is a predicted model, not a curated record.
UCAAGAAGUGUUUUUGUCUCAGGCACCAUCUCUGCUCUGAAGGUGAAAAUGCCAAAGUUCUGGUCUCAAGCCAAGAGGAGCUACUAUAGGAAAACACAGCAAAAAAUCCUUCAUCCUGCUAUGCAAAAGAAGCCUCAGCUUACACCAGUUCAUUAUCAGAUUCUCUGCACUUGAAGGAAGCAAAAUCCAUGAACUCCAGUCAGCUCUAGAAUGAAAUCAGAUUGAAGAAAUAAACAGUAGCAUGGGAAUUUGCUAAGAAAAUAACAAUAAAAAUUUCUGCUCCAAUGAGAGAGAUUAACAAGCUGAA